CCGCUAAGUUGUGCGUUCCAGGGUGCACUCGCCGGCGAGGCUGCACGGCGCCGGUUUCAUUGCUAAAAUCCGACGGACUUGUUGCAGAACUCGUUUUUUUUGUCGGGAAAGGGCUUCCCCGUGUAACUUUACAGCAGUUAUCGUAGAUAAGACUUGCAAAUUACAGAUGUGGACGGUGAGGGAACGGGAAUUUCACUGAAAGCGCCUGAGAACCAGUAAGAGACCUGCAACAGCUUUGUGCUCCACUGGCGAAUGCUUCCUCCCCUAAUACACAUUAUGUGUGCUUGGAGACACAAGGAGUAAGAUACAGCCCCUCAAGGGACUCGUCAUAGGGAGAGGACACAGCUUUGGGAAUAAAGGGGCCACAAAGGAGGAGAGAGGAGUUUGCUGAAACUUCCCAAGCUCCCAUUCCAGCAGUUCCUGAAGGAUUCAUUUCUCUCUGAGGAUCUCAUGAGGUGGCUUAGCAGCUAGAAUCUCUUCCUUAACAGUGGGAAGAACAACUCCUGGAAAUUUAGGUCGACUUUGACUGGAUUUAAAAGAAAGCUGUACAAUUCCACUUCUGUAUAUACAACCAAAGGAAAUGAGAUGUGCAUACCCAUGUUCAAUGAAGCAUUAUUCACAAUAGCCAAAAUGUGGAACCAAUCCUUAAACAAAAGGAAAACAGAAAAUCUGCUCAAGGCACCUGAGAAAAUCACAACCCACACUUGCGAACCCCUAGGAGACCUAAAGCUGUGGUUUUACAAAUAAACAGAUAAGUAACAUUCCUACUCUUUCCUAUAGGUACUCAAUCUUCUUAACAACUCCCAUCCCACACAGGUUUGCAUCCCCAGCAGAUACAUAUGGCUAUGUGGUCACCCAUUCGAUCAGCCUAUAAAAGACUUGUCUUAUUUGAUAUUGUGAAACCCAUGGUUAUCAGUGUAUAUGAAAAUGUUUGGUUCAGGGGUCAAUGUACAAUAUGACAAGCAAAGUCCUCUAAUACACAGUUAUAUAAAAUCACUCACCUGAGAGCCAAGUGGACAAUUGGCCUUAUAUUGGCUGGAGUUGGAGCCCCAGAGGGAAAAUUUGCCUAUUAUUAGGCAACUCUUCAAAACUUUACUUAUUCGUUUCUAAACACUGUCUCAUAAAAUGGGGGAUGCUUUAGAUGAAUUAAGAUUAGCACUAGAUUACUUAUUCGUUGAAAAUUAGCACUAGAUUUCUUAUUGGUUGAACAAGGAGGAGUGUGCACCAUAAUCAAUAUAACCUGCUGCAGUUAUGUAAACACCUCAGGUCACAUAGAAGAAGAUAUACAGAAAAUACAUGAACAAGCUGUGUGGUUGCGUAAAUAUAACCAAGGCACCAAUCCCAACUGUAUCUGGUCAGCCAUUAGAAGCACCCUCCUGAGUCUCACUUGGUUGUUGCCCUUCCUAGGAACUUUGAUAGUUGUCUUAUUAUUAAUCUUUGGCCCUUGCUUGUUUAAAUUCUUGGUAAAGUUUGUGUUUUUUAGAUUACAACAAUUCCACAUAAAGAUGAUACUGACACAAAGCUUCCAAUCCAUCCCGUCUUCUGAACCGGGAAAUAAAGACACCCUGCCUUUAGGUGUCUUUAGAUCUAGAUCAGGCAUCUAGAGAUUUUUACUCCUCCAAUACUUGGCAGGGUCUAUGCCCGUAGACUCAUCAGGAUACCAUGUAAAUGAGGACCUCCCUUGGUACCCCAGAGGCCAACUGUAGACCCUUAUGAGAAAAUCCUGUCCCCAAAAUGAACAUCCACUGUCAGCAGGAAGAAGUUACAGAAGACCAGCCUUUGCCCUUACGAUUAAGGGUCCUCUUGUAAGUAGAGAGGGGAAUGUUAGGAAAGCAGGAGCCUAGGUGAUCCAGAGUGACACCAUUUUAAAAUAAACUCCACCUGAAAACUAGCAAGGCAUCUGCACACAUCUGUUUAGCAAGUAUAUACUUCUGUAACUGGAAUAAAAAGCGUUAUUUUAGAAUAUGCCUAUAGUUUGUAAUAAUUAGCCGAGGGAAAAAAAGUUCACAUUGGUGUAGGAAAAGUGCCCUAAUGGUCAUGGGUAAUAAUGGGACCGUGGUUCUGGUCAGUGAUUUGAUGGAAGGGGUGUAGAUAAUAUAUUGUUGUAAAUAAUAAAAAUAAAAAAUUGUUGUAAGUAAUAAAAAUAAAAUAAUAUUGUUGUAAGUAAUAAAGUAGGAGAAAUAUUUGGUCUUUUGCUUUUGGGUUAGUGCAACAGUAGUACCAUUACUUGGAGGAGAAGUUAGAGAAGGACAAGAAUAGGCUUGAAUAAGAUGAGUGAGAAGAGAGAAAAAUUCCGUAAGUGGAGAUGGCCAGGGAACACCAGGGCAGCAGAAUCUAACUCUGAAUUUAAUGCUGUUGUCUGUUCAUAUUGCACUGCGCUGUAAUCUCCCUAUCUUUCCUAAACCAUUGGCAAAGUCUGCUAUCCACUGGGGCCUUGGGUCGGUGGUGCUUUGGGAAAUACCAGAAGAGGGAAAGUACGGCAAAUGUGCAGUGUCACAGAUGAUAGGAGGAAAGCUGGCCAGUGGGAUGAUUAAAACAAUUUCGGUGGGAGUGGGAAUUCAGACCAUGUAAAUGGUCUGAAUUAAGAAAAUUUCAAGAAACAAAAAAUGUUUCUAAUGAGCCAAAGUGAAAGCUCUUCAUGAUUUCUUUAUAGAGGCUCUCUAGUGCUUGUCCUAAUUUCCUGAAAUCUCAUGGGUAUCUUACUCUCCUGGUGCCCGCCUCAAACAUUCACUGUAGCAAUUAUAUGAGCAGCCUAGAGAAUCCCAAUCCCAGUGGUCUUGCUCCCUGGAUCUACUUUCUCUUAAAAAUCAUUCCCCUAAGUUUCCGUCACUUGGUUGAAGUUUAGUAGAUAUCUCCACAUCUCCAGCUAGAACAGCACCAGAAUUUCAGGACUAGGGCAAUAGAGUCUGAUAUUAAAUUCUAUUUCUAUCUAUCUAUCUAUCAUCUAUCUAUCUAUCUAUCUAUCUAUCUAUCUAUCUAUCUAUCUAUCUACAGAACAAUUUGUGGGAUAGUAGCUUUGGGGUCCCAGAUCUAGGAUGGGCCUGGUCCUCCAUGCUGGUUCUCCUGGGUGAUAUUUCUGUUAGUUUGAACAGUAAUCACACUUUUAUUACUGUUUCAUCUUUUUUUUUUCACUCUUAGACUGAUUUUAUCAUGUGUAUAAAACAUACACACACCUACAUCUCAAGGAUAAACAUUAAUCCUUGAAAAAUAUGUGGUCUAAAACUAUAUUGAGGAGAGAAAGAUAGGACACUUUAAUUGCCACAUGAUUAACACGAGGUCACCACACAGCUUUCACAAAUCUACAAGUCAUUCUAUUUAGGCUGAGUCAAGUUCUCCCUUGGGCCAGCCAGAGCACAAAUAAUGGAGCAAUGUGACUCUUCAAUGACAGAUCUCUGAUUUCCAGAAAAGAGACUUUGAAAUACCCAAUUCUAGUAAAUAUGCAAUUAAAUUUCCAGCUAAAUGACCUUUGCUCCUGUAGUCUUCAUCUUGGGGAAGGGAAAGAAGUCUUAUUCUGUUUAAUAGUUUGAUUUUUAUAAUAGGGUUUGUCUCUGUUAUAAAUCUUGUUUGAUAUUUAAAAUGUUAGCUAAGAGAAAACUUCUGUUUGUUUUUAUUUAGUGGGAAGAAACUAACCCUCAUUGAGUGCCUAGUUAACAUCAGGCACUUUGUACACAUAAUCAAUUGAAUCUUGACCACAACCCUGUGAGGUGAAAAAUGAGAAGAUUAAAUAAGCCAUGGGAAGAUUUUUUAAAAUGACAUGAAACUCCAAGGGUAAAAAGUAGGCUGGGAAAUCUUAGGAUGGUGAACCAUCAUGUUUCCUGAAUGUGAAUCCUGUACCUGGUUUGACUGUAGUCACCCCUUCUCCAACACUCUCCACGAUGCCGGCUGCCUCAUGGCCUAAAAUCACAGGAAGUGGGGUCACCAUGGUACCACUAACCACGUGGUCAUCUGUGCCACAGAUUCCUACAGCCACCAUCUACAGAGUGAAGAGAAGAUGUUUAUAAAAGAUUGUGAGUCUCAGGAUGUUCAACAUGAUCAAUGCCAAAUAAAUAUCAGAAUACUUGGAAGUAAAGUACUAAUAGUAGGAGUUCCUGAUUAUCAGGUGCCUAUGAUGUGACAGGCACAUUGUGGCCUGUGCUCGACCAGGAGACUGGUGAGUCCUUGUGGAUUUCUUCCCUGCUCAAGUGCAUAAAGCAGGUGUAUUGCAUAGCUUUUCCAGGCUGAGAUCAAAGACGGAGAUGUGCCUACCCGCAGAUCCUAGAUGGCCAUGUUUGCAACAGAGGUAAUGAUGAGCAGUGCGAAGAUGUGACUCCAAAGCCUGGAGAAGGACAGACCAGCAUCCCUGCAAGAGAUCCAACUGUCUUCUUUUCCGCAGAGGUCCAUAAUUUACAUGGGCCUGACAAAGAAUACUGUAACUUGCAGAAAUUAUCUUCAGUUCAAAUCCUUCAUUUUGGGGGUUAAAUAACUUGCCCAAGAUGUCGAGGGAGCGGAAAUACUUGCUGGUCUUGCAGCGGCUGUGGAGCCUGGAAUCCUGCCAAGAAGAGCAUGUGUGAGAGAUCAAAAUGUUUGCUUACAUUCCUCCUGUGAAGGGAGUUGGGAAAUAACCUAAGAAGCCCAAUCCAAAAACAAAGAUGUACCAUCCAGUCUUCUCUGUGAGAACCAAACUACAAACCAUCUGAAUGUUCCAAAAGUGUUUUGAUGAUGUAUUGAUGUAUUUUAAAUUAUCCUGAAAAUGUUCUUGGCAGAUGCUUAAACAUGUAAUUACUGAGAUGAUGUAGAAAUACCAAGUGUUUAUUAAAACAAUACAGAGUAAUACAAAUGGUAUGUUUGUCGCAAUAUAAAAGUAUCUAAAAAUUAAAGAGUUCUUUAAUGGU
Molecule: long non-coding RNA, 4871 nt
Filed under: Homo sapiens (human)
Lineage: Eukaryota; Metazoa; Chordata; Mammalia; Primates; Hominidae
Description: HSALNT0321090
Source: RNAcentral